AAGGGUGGUGGAACGGGGCCAGGAGAAAUGGAAGGAGAGGACAGCUUCUUGCGUUGCAUGUUUGUCGUCGAAUCCGCCGCGUGAUUGACGGACGUUAGCGAGAGACGAGGGCUGCCUCUCUGUAUCGUGACAUCCUCUGAUCCGAUGUUUAUCUUGCACCGCUACGAGCUCGUUCCUGUUGUUCUCCAAAAGUAGUGCAUUUUCUGGAGCGCUGUACGCUGUACAACCUUCGGUCCACGACGCAGGGAAGAAAAAAAUAAUAAAGGCUAAGAGAAAGGGAACUGUUCUCGAGAAUACCUCACAAGAACGCGUUUUUUCCUCGCUCGAAAAAUAACGUGUCAGGGUCGUUGUAUUCGAGAUAUAAAUUGCUUUUCGGAAUGGAGUCUCGCGUUUCAGUGAAAAGCUAUGAUUUUCUCGGACAAAACAUAGUUUUUAGUUCUGAAUAGAAAGACUGUUUCAUUAUUUUUAAACUGUCGUCUAAAAAUUACACGUGACGCAGUGGUGCUAUAAAAAUCUCAAGUUAUUUGUACUCUUCGAGAUAUACUGUAUUGUAAGAAUACAAUAACGAUAAUACGUUUAAACAAUUUCCGUUCUAAAACUGUCAAAAAUAUUGCAAU
This 617-nucleotide unclassified non-coding RNA is filed under the name Bombus terrestris (buff-tailed bumblebee). RNAcentral's name for it is "misc RNA ENSBTSG00005020964.1". The record is from RNAcentral. Lineage: Eukaryota; Metazoa; Arthropoda; Insecta; Hymenoptera; Apidae.